This 777-nucleotide long non-coding RNA is filed under the name Coturnix japonica (Japanese quail). RNAcentral's name for it is "lncRNA (ENSCJPG00005012075.1)". Lineage: Eukaryota; Metazoa; Chordata; Aves; Galliformes; Phasianidae. The record is from RNAcentral.
CAUUUAGGAAAAAAAAAAAAAAAAAGCAUUAUCUGGCAAAGAAUAUGGCAUUUAUGCAAUAUAUGGUAGCUGUAAUCUCAACUGUUUUAUUAUUCAGUUUUUACAGGGAGGGAGACUGCUACCUGCCAUCUGUCAGCCUGCCAGAAAUUCCUAUGUCUAUCAGAGCAAGAGCUAAGGAUGUGACAUCUUUCUCCAUCGUCUUCUCAGAAUAUCCAGGCAUCAAAGAAAUAUGAGGAGAAGCUGCCUGCAGAAUAACUGAAGAAAAUCUAAAAUGAGUAGAAACGUGUUGAAUUCAGCUUGUCUGCUAAAUUAGCAUGAUUUUUUUUUUUUCCCCAGGAUGUCUUGGGGAAAAAAGCUAUCUUACUUUUUUAUGACUGUAAUUAAAGAUUUCUGCAAAGAAGGAAGAAAUUAUCUGAGUGAAAACACUUAUUUUGUCCUCAUUUUCUAAUUGGCUCUGAAAAAUGUUAGCAUAGCUGUCAGAAAGGAAGACAUAGUGUAGGCAAGGCUCUAAUUAGAUAUAAAAUGUAAUCGUAGCAUUGUGCAGUGUGCCCUUUUUUUUUUUUUUAUAAACAGAUAAAUAUGUAGUGAAUAUCUCCCCACGCUUAAUAAGCCAAAAACAGACUCAGAGAACGUGAUGGAAGUGAAGCUUUUAGCACAAGAGAAACCACAUGAAUCAUGGAAUCUGUAAGAAUGGAAAAGUUCUCUAAGAUCACGAAGUCCCACCAUCAGCCUAUCCCCACCAUGCCCACUAACCACAUCUCUCAGUGAGACAUUCAC